Molecule: ribosomal RNA, 422 nt
Filed under: uncultured bacterium
Lineage: Bacteria
Description: bacterial SSU rRNA
Rfam family: Bacterial small subunit ribosomal RNA
Source: RNAcentral
UGAGGAAUAUUGGGCAAUGCCCGAAAGGGUGACCCAGCAACGCCGCGUGGAGGAUGAAGGUCGUAAGAUUGUAAACUCCUGUUAGAGGGGAAGAAUAACUAAGUUUGGAGCUUAGUAUGACUGUACCCUCAGAGAAAGCCCCGGCUAACUACGUGCCAGCAGCCGCGGUAAUACGUAGGGGGCAAGCGUUGUCCGGAUUUACUGGGUGUAAAGGGCGCGCAGGCGGAAUGGAAAGUCAGUGGUGAAAUCCUACAGCUUAACUGUAGAACUGCCUUUGAUACUUUCAUUCUUGAGUUCGGGAGAGAGAGACGGAAUUCCAGGUGUGGUGGUGAAAUACGUAGAUAUCUGGAAGAACACCAGUUGCGAAGGCGGUCUCUUGGUCCGAUACUGACGCUGAGGCGCGAAAGCGUGGGGAGCAAACA